CUGCCAGAUGUGCAGUAGGAUUGACAGAUUAAUUCAAGGUGGAGGUGGGAUUACACCAAGGAUAAACUGUGAGUCAUUUCUUGUUCACAGUGGUGAUGAAGAUGUUGGCAAAUGAGAUCAGACAGGAGUCUCUAUGGACUACUAUGUUUGCAGAUGACGUGAUCUGUAGUGAGAGUACAGAGCAGGUUGAGUCUAGCCUGGAAAUGUGGAGAUACGCUCUGGAGAGCAGGGGAAUGAAAAUCAGUAGAAGCAAGACUGAGUACAUGUGUGUGAACGAGAGGGAGCCCA
Molecule: long non-coding RNA, 288 nt
Organism: Thalassophryne amazonica
Lineage: Eukaryota; Metazoa; Chordata; Actinopteri; Batrachoidiformes; Batrachoididae
Exons: 3
Source: RefSeq, a predicted model, not a curated record